Myotis daubentonii (Daubenton's bat) is the source of this 3330-nucleotide long non-coding RNA. RefSeq lists it as uncharacterized. Lineage: Eukaryota; Metazoa; Chordata; Mammalia; Chiroptera; Vespertilionidae. The record is from RefSeq and is a predicted model, not a curated record.
UCGGCGCCCUCCUCCCCCUCCCUCCGCGGGUCCCUCGUUUCCUGCCGGCGCCCGUUGCCAUGGCGACGGCGCUCCCGGGCCUCCGCGCUGCCGGCCCGGGGUGGUGUUUUCCCCCCUCGUUCGCCGUCCCUUUCUCCUCUUUUUUUUUUUUCCCUCCUUCUUUCUCUCCGAGUGCGGCUCCGCGGACGCAGGGGCGAGACUGAGCGAGUGCUGGCCUCUAGUGGGGAAGGCACCUCUCCGAGAAACGGAGGGAGAUGGAGAAGGGAGGGAAGUGACGUGGAGAAAGGGGAACAUCAGGGAUUUUCCUGGAGCGUCUGGGAAUAGGGGGUGGAAAGAAAGAAUCAAAGGGACCAACAGGCAGCGGGGGAGGAAGGGCAGGCAGCGACCCCGGGGCAGCGAUGGGCCGGGGAAGGAGCGAGCAGGAAAGAACAGCCAGGGCCGAGCAGAAGGAGGGAGCGUGCCGAUGGCCGCGUCGCUCACCUCAACUCGGACGGAGAAGGCGGGAAAGGACGCUGCCCGAGGCCGGGGGCCCUCGCUUCCAAGCCGCCUCCCCACACAACUGGCUGCGCAUGGCACGCUCAAGUCUGUCCUCCCGGGGCUGUGUGUCCUCGCGCGGUCUUAGUUCGAAAUGUGGGUGUGAAAGAGGAGGACAGAAACCGGGGAGAAGGCCGGGGCGCGAAGGGUAGACAAUGGGGCUGGACCUGGGAGCACCUACCCAGCGGUUCUCAACCUCCCUACUGCCGCGACCCUGUCAUACAGUUCCUCAUGGUGUGGGGGCCCCCAAUUUCAUUGUUACCAAUGGAACAUAAUUAAAGCAUAGUGAUGAACCACAAAAACAAUAUGUAAUUAGGUAUGUGUUUUCCGAUGGUCUUAGGCGACCCGGUGAAAAGGGUCGUUGGACCCCCCAAAGGGGUCGCGACCCCCAGGUGGAGAACCGCUGAAGCAUUUGCUCAGGCGGUAGCCUUUGUCGUGUAUGCGUGUUUUAUUCUUUUAAACUUUGAGCGCUUGGCAAGUAUCCAUAGGGCACUUGCGAUGUGCCACUCGCUGCUUUGGAAGCUCGGGUUACACCAGCGCGCGGCGCGCAGAUCCUCGCCCUCGUUAACCUUCACCGAAGGGGCCGGGGGACACCUUGCGGCUUAGUAACGAGGGGUGACGCUUCCUCUGCUGUUGGCAUAGUCCACUCAUUAUUUUUAACCUCAUAUCUUGUUCUCACCUCUGCGCUAUCCCGUUGUUUUCUUUGUCAGCCCACUCUUUAUUCUCGCCUUUAAAAGCCAAGGCGUGAUUUGUUUUCACAAAAGAUAGAGAAGUGUUCCCUUUGUCUAUAAGUUAGAUCUGCAUUGAGAGAGGGGUGUGUAGACUCUUAAUGAGCAGGAGCCAGGUUUGUGCCAGAGAAGAAUCUCUGCCAGGCGUCAAGGAACCAGUCAGACAAGGAUGCGAGGGGAGAAAGGAGAGGGCAGCCAAAGGCUGGAAAAGGGCAGACCUGAGGUGUAGGGGGGUGAAAGGGUAUGUUGCCAGGGUGAAUGACAGGCUUUGGCUGGGGAUGAAUUGAAAAAGAUUCUGGCAGAGAAUUAGUGGUGAAAACUAGGGAAAGCAUUCGUCAUUUAGAUUUGUGGCCUGUCAAAGUUGAAAGCUUCCUUGUGGAGGCUUAGAAUGGAUAUACUGAGCCCACGCUGAAUAUCCGAGGACCAAGAACAAGUUGUACCUAUAGAUAAUUUUCCGAUUAUGUGAUAUGCAGGCCAAGAAACAUUACUCAUGUGUUUUCAUGGGUUCCGUGGGAGAAUUAUCACCAAGUGUCUACAGAAGGCCUGUAAUACAUCUCAAGGAUAAGGAGUCCUGAUGCCACCGGUGUCUUUUUUUCCAACCGCCUAUGGAACUUGCAUACCUAAUGGGGACCUGGCCAUUUCAGCCCCAUUAGAUAUGGAGCAGAACCCACUACCAAUUCAUUUAGUCACAUCCCACCUCUAAGGAUUUUUUUUUUUUAAUUUCCUGAAUCUUCGGCCCCUACAUCUACUAAAAGUUACGAAUUUAGAUGGUGUCAGGGGAUAAGUUAGUGAUGAAGUAUAAUUGUGUUCACUGACUGAUAAAAAUCUAGGCUUGGGAUACUCUGUCACAGAGCAUGCCUUAUUAAUUAUGAGCCAGUGGUUUAACUUAUGUAGAGGCUUUACUCUGUAUUUUGCCGUAAUUCUUUUCAAGUUCAUUAUUCUCCAAGACACAGGAGUCUUUCUGGGUCAUAGGUUUAAGCAAUUUCCCAAAGAAAAAUUCAGUAUGAAAAAGAAAUGUAUCCAACAGUAAAAUGAAGUAGUAGAAAGCCUCCGUUCAUAAGACAGUCGUGGGCAGAAUUAGCUGGGAAACAGGUACGGAAUUGCUUCUCCACCUAAAUGGAACAAAACAAUUUGUGAUUCCUAGAAAAUGCACAACUGGCUUUUUUUAUAUUUUUCUAAACUUUCUCAUUUUCAUUUAAAGAUCCUGCUGGAAUUAGUCUUUUCUUUUUCAAACCAAAUAGUUCCUGUGAAUGGAAGCUAAAUAAUUUCUUAACUCUGCAUAACACUGAAAGUCAUUAGCCUAAAUAGGUGAAAAGGAAAUGCAUUCUAUCUGCCAGGUCAAAAAACCCUCUGAGAGGUUCCCCUGAAGGAAUGGAGGAUCCUUAUCUCUGAAGACAAAAGAACACCAAGAGGAAUCCACUUACCUCAUGCUCCUUAACUUAUGAUAUUCCUUCAUGACUAUGCACACUUCAUCCAACCCAGCAUAAAAAUACACCAGUCUAGCCUGACCGGCUUGGCUCAGGGUUGAGUGACCUAUGAACCAGGAGGACAUGGUUCGAAUCCAGGUCAGGGCACAUGCCCAGGUUGUGGGCUGGACCCAUAGUGUGGGGCAUGCAGGAGGCAGACGAUCAAUGAUUCUCUCUCAUCAUUGAUGUUUCUAUUCCCUGCUCCCUUCCUCUCUGAAAUCAAUAAAAAUAGAUAUUUUAAAAAAUACACCAAUCUAACUUGCUUUGGUUCUUCAUUUCUUCAUGAAGGUUCUCUUGUGUUACAUAUACAUUCAACUUAAAUAAGUUUUGUUGAAAUAAAUUUGCAGGCCCAAGAUGGAGCCACUCCUGCCUAGAGUUCCCGGCCGGCAAACUGAAACCUACAUAACGUUCAUGUCCCUGCAAAUGUUCCACUUGGCCAGAAACAGUCUAUCCAGUCGGCCAGUCCCCAAAUGCCAGGCCAACUCUGGGCUGUAUAUUACCACCUUUUUCGUUGUUCUUUAUCCUACAAAGCUUCCUGCCUUGCACUCUCCUAAUGGAGACUGUCCACUUCAUAAAGUGUUAAAUAAAGUUUGUCACCUAAA